Molecule: transfer RNA, 73 nt
Filed under: Thermoleophilia bacterium
Lineage: Bacteria; Bacillati; Actinomycetota; Thermoleophilia
Also listed under: 2 other names
Description: tRNA-Ala
Rfam family: tRNA
About the family: Transfer RNA (tRNA) molecules are approximately 80 nucleotides in length. Their secondary structure includes four short double-helical elements and three loops (D, anti-codon, and T loops).
Source: RNAcentral
GGGCCCGUAGCGCAGUUGGGAGCGCGCCUGGAUCGCACCCAGGAGGUCGGCGGUUCGAUCCCGCCCGGGUCCA